CAGAAAAAUGGCAAUUUUGUGUACUCUGGUUUCAUUCAGAGGAAUUCUCCCUUAAGAGCUGCACAUGUUCAUUCCCAUAGAUUGGCAUUUGGGGGGGAGGGGGCUAGAAUAUCCUAAGGAACAAAUACAUGAGGAACAAACAGUUUUGAUGCUGGCUUAUAUCAGGGGAUGUAUAGGAAUCUGGAUCAGCAGAUUGAAGACGGUUAAAAAAAGACAGGCUGAAAUUGCAGGUUUCUUCUGCAUUUGAUUGUGAUGGUGGAAGACGUAUCUUUAGCAAAAACAGUGUUAUUUAGUCCCAUUGUCCGGUGUUAGACUGAGAAAGUCUUUGAUAGAACACCCAUCACUGUGAGCUCCAACCAUUACCAACGUACAAGCUGAAGAAAGCAUGGCGUUGCCAGCCCGAAAGAGCAGUAAUUAUAGGGUGUGUCAUCAAUCACAGUCGCCAACGGAGCAAUUUCACGGGUUGUAGAGGUUACUCCCCUCCUGCCGCUGUGGGUAACCCUGGGAGACAGCCUUGAGAGAGAUAAGCGUGGAAUGUGCAUCUGUCUUUGGCUGCUGUGCCAUUUCGCCAGUUUUCCAUUCCCCCCUGGCCUAUGGCAACUCGAGAACAAGCCAGGAAUGCUUUGCGAGUUGACAUGUUGAUUCGUACUGUGGCAAGCUCUCCCAUGGCGAAUUGAAUGUGCCCCAGAACCAACCACCGACUUCGACUCCAGAAACAGCACAAUCCAGUUUGACCGAUUGUCCUGGUGUCUUCAUUUUAAACAGGGACUGGGACAGCUGCACAUCGGGGAAAACACCUGGUAAAAUAAAAGAAAGAACUGGUGGGCCGCCCAUGAAGGUUGUUCCUUAAGAGGAAAUGCUUCAUCUCGGUGAUUUACAUAAAGACCAUGUCAUCCAACACGCUAUUUAAGGAGGAAAAGAAGCUGAGAAGAAUCUCCACAUGUGCCAUAGGUUUGCCAUCACGGGUCUAGGACAACUCACUGCAGCCAGCUAUCCACAGCCAACUGUCUGCGGCCAACUUGCCAUGCCAACUUACCAUAGCCAACACUCUGUGGUCAAUUCCCCCCAGCCAAUCUCCACGGCCAACUCACCAUGGCCAACUCUCCAUGGCCAACACACACCUUGGCCAACUCUCCACAGCCAACUCACCAUGGCCAACUCUCCACAGCCAACACACACCAUGGCUACCUCUCCACAGCCACUCACCAUGGCCAACUCUCCAUGGCCAACACACACCAUGGCCAACUCUCCAAGGCCAACACACCAUGGCCAACUCUCCAUGGCCAACACACACCAUGGCCAACUUGUUACAGCCAACUCACUGUAGCCAACUCACAGUGGGAUAACUCACCAUGGGACAAGAGUUAUAGUAAUAUCAAAGAAAUGGUGGAAUAGAAUCAUUAAAGAAAGGGAUGUAAAAGGAAGGGACACAGUUAAAUGUGAAUGAUAAAAAUACUUUUAAAAUUAUCUUAAAUAAUUAAAUUGAAUUGUUGAAUUGUCCGAUGGUGAGCUAGCCCUAGCAAGUUGGUCAAUGGUGAGUUGGCCAUGGUGAGUUGGCCUAUUCUGCCAUUUGAUAUAGUCCUUGGGCAUAGAAGAAAGUUGGUGUUAAUUGCUUCUCCCUCCCCUUCUCUAUCCAACUCAAUUUUCUGGUCAGUUUUUCCUGAAGGGUUCUUUGUUUUUGUUUUUGUAGAUUUGUUCAUUUGGUCAUCAUUUCUUUCUUCUUUAUUACCUCUCCUUUAGUACCCUUUGGAAAGAUAUUUGAAAACUAUUUGAGGGAAGCGGAGUAGAAACAUUUUAUAACAAAUGAGAACUCGGUGGAGACAGAAUUUUGCAGAUGGCUGACUCCGUGUGGUUUUGAACUGAUGGGCCGCCCACGAAGGUUGUUCCUUAAGAGGAAAUGUUUCAUCUCGGCGAUUUACAUAAAGAAGACGUCGUCCAGCACACUAUUUAAGGAGGAAAGGAAGCCGAGAAGAAGCUCCACAAAAUGUUGGACUGCAACCUGUGUGUGUUUGUGUGUUUUGUUCGGUUCUGCAACCCAACAAGAAAAACACAGACUUCAGAGGAUAAUUAGAACUGCAGAAAAAAUAAUUGCUACCAACCUGCCUUCCAUUGAGGACCUGUAUACUGCACGAAUCAAGAAGAGGGCCGUGAAAAUAUUUAAGAUCCCUCACAUCUUGGACAUAAACUGUUUCAACUCCUACCCUCAAAACGACGCUAUAGAGCACUGCACACCAGAACAACUAGACACAAGAACAGUUUUUUCCCAAAGGCCAUCACUCUGCUAAACAAAUAAUUCCCUCCACACUGUCAGACUAUUUACUGAAUCUGCACUACUAUUAAUCUUCUCAUAGUUCCCAUCACCCAUCUCUUUCCACUUAUGACUGUAUGACUAUAACUUGUUGCUGGCAAUCCUUAUGAUUUAUAUUGAUAUAUUGACCAUCAAUUGUGUUGUAAAUGUUGUACCUUGAUGAACGUAUCUUUUCUUUUAUGUACACUGAGAGCAUAUGCACCAAGACAAAUUCCUUGUGUGUCCAAUCACACUUGGCCAAUAAAAUUUUAUUCUAUUCUAUUCUAUAGUGCUUGGUAUGUCAUUGGUGAGAGCUGAACCAUGAAAAAAAUAAUUAAACCUUUUUAAUGUCGAGAAACGAUUUGAAUCUCUGACUUAAGUGCCUAAUAAGCUGCUAUGUGUUAUUUUGAAAAUAAAAAUAUAUAGUGUGAUAUAGUUUAUAUUUAGUUUUUGACUUCCUUUUGUUGUAACGAGAAGUCCUCAUUUUGCAGAAGUUCAUUUAGUGCCCAUUCAAAGUUAGAACAGCACUGAACAAAGGGACUUAUGACUGUUUUUCACACUUAUUACAGCAUUACAGCAUCUCCCAUGGUCACGUGAUCAGAAUUCAGAUGCUUGGUAACUCAUAUUUAUGACGGUUGCAAUAUCCCGGGGUCAUAUGAUCACCUUUAAUGACCUACUGAGAAGCAAAGGCGAUUGGGAAGCCAGAUUCACAACGACUGUGUUACUAACUUAACAAUUGCAGUGAUUCACUUAACAACCAUGCCAAGAAAGGUUGCAAAAUGGGGCAAAACUCACUUAACACAUGUUUCACUUAGCAACACAAAUUUUGGGUUCAGUUGUGGUCGCAGGUCAAGGAUUACUUAUAGUUUGAUUAUAUACAGUCUGGCAAUCCUUAUGAUUUAUAUUGAUAUAUUGACCAUCAAUUGUGUUGUAAAUGUUGUACCUUGAUGAACGUAUCUUUUCUUUUAUGUACA
This is a long non-coding RNA of Ahaetulla prasina, 3261 nucleotides long. RefSeq lists it as uncharacterized. The record is from RefSeq and is a predicted model, not a curated record. Lineage: Eukaryota; Metazoa; Chordata; Lepidosauria; Squamata; Colubridae. The transcript is spliced from 8 exons.